Molecule: transfer RNA, 82 nt
Filed under: Puniceicoccales bacterium
Lineage: Bacteria; Pseudomonadati; Verrucomicrobiota; Opitutia; Puniceicoccales
Description: tRNA-Leu
Rfam family: tRNA
About the family: Transfer RNA (tRNA) molecules are approximately 80 nucleotides in length. Their secondary structure includes four short double-helical elements and three loops (D, anti-codon, and T loops). Further hydrogen bonds mediate the characteristic L-shaped molecular structure. tRNAs have two regions of fundamental functional importance: the anti-codon, which is responsible for specific mRNA codon recognition, and the 3' end, to which the tRNAs corresponding amino acid is attached (by aminoacyl-tRNA synthetases). tRNAs cope with the degeneracy of the genetic code in two manners: having more than one tRNA (with a specific anti-codon) for a particular amino acid; and 'wobble' base-pairing, i.e. permitting non-standard base-pairing at the 3rd anti-codon position.
Source: RNAcentral
GCCCGGGUGGCGGAAUGGCAGACGCAGGGGACUUAAAAUCCCCUGGCCUUUGGCCGUGUGGGUUCGAAUCCCAUCCCGGGCA